Molecule: ribosomal RNA, 1462 nt
Filed under: Limosilactobacillus reuteri
Lineage: Bacteria; Bacillati; Bacillota; Bacilli; Lactobacillales; Lactobacillaceae
Description: Lactobacillus reuteri 16S ribosomal RNA
Rfam family: Bacterial small subunit ribosomal RNA
Source: RNAcentral
GUGCCUAAUACAUGCAAGUCGUACGCACUGGCCCAACUGAUUGAUGGUGCUUGCACCUGAUUGACGAUGGAUCACCAGUGAGUGGCGGACGGGUGAGUAACACGUAGGUAACCUGCCCCGGAGCGGGGGAUAACAUUUGGAAACAGAUGCUAAUACCGCAUAACAACAAAAGCCACAUGGCUUUUGUUUGAAAGAUGGCUUUGGCUAUCACUCUGGGAUGGACCUGCGGUGCAUUAGCUAGUUGGUAAGGUAACGGCUUACCAAGGCGAUGAUGCAUAGCCGAGUUGAGAGACUGAUCGGCCACAAUGGAACUGAGACACGGUCCAUACUCCUACGGGAGGCAGCAGUAGGGAAUCUUCCACAAUGGGCGCAAGCCUGAUGGAGCAACACCGCGUGAGUGAAGAAGGGUUUCGGCUCGUAAAGCUCUGUUGUUGGAGAAGAACGUGCGUGAGAGUAACUGUUCACGCAGUGACGGUAUCCAACCAGAAAGUCACGGCUAACUACGUGCCAGCAGCCGCGGUAAUACGUAGGUGGCAAGCGUUAUCCGGAUUUAUUGGGCGUAAAGCGAGCGCAGGCGGUUGCUUAGGUCUGAUGUGAAAGCCUUCGGCUUAACCGAAGAAGUGCAUCGGAAACCGGGCGACUUGAGUGCAGAAGAGGACAGUGGAACUCCAUGUGUAGCGGUGGAAUGCGUAGAUAUAUGGAAGAACACCAGUGGCGAAGGCGGCUGUCUGGUCUGCAACUGACGCUGAGGCUCGAAAGCAUGGGUAGCGAACAGGAUUAGAUACCCUGGUAGUCCAUGCCGUAAACGAUGAGUGCUAGGUGUUGGAGGGUUUCCGCCCUUCAGUGCCGGAGCUAACGCAUUAAGCACUCCGCCUGGGGAGUACGACCGCAAGGUUGAAACUCAAAGGAAUUGACGGGGGCCCGCACAAGCGGUGGAGCAUGUGGUUUAAUUCGAAGCUACGCGAAGAACCUUACCAGGUCUUGACAUCUUGCGCUAACCUUAGAGAUAAGGCGUUCCCUUCGGGGACGCAAUGACAGGUGGUGCAUGGUCGUCGUCAGCUCGUGUCGUGAGAUGUUGGGUUAAGUCCCGCAACGAGCGCAACCCUUGUUACUAGUUGCCAGCAUUAAGUUGGGCACUCUAGUGAGACUGCCGGUGACAAACCGGAGGAAGGUGGGGACGACGUCAGAUCAUCAUGCCCCUUAUGACCUGGGCUACACACGUGCUACAAUGGACGGUACAACGAGUCGCAAGCUCGCGAGAGUAAGCUAAUCUCUUAAAGCCGUUCUCAGUUCGGACUGUAGGCUGCAACUCGCCUACACGAAGUCGGAAUCGCUAGUAAUCGCGGAUCAGCAUGCCGCGGUGAAUACGUUCCCGGGCCUUGUACACACCGCCCGUCACACCAUGGGAGUUUGUAACGCCCAAAGUCGGUGGCCUAACCUUUAUGGAGGGAGCCGCCUAAGG